Molecule: long non-coding RNA, 268 nt
Organism: Papaver somniferum (opium poppy)
Lineage: Eukaryota; Viridiplantae; Streptophyta; Magnoliopsida; Ranunculales; Papaveraceae
Exons: 3
Source: RefSeq, a predicted model, not a curated record
GGCGCGAGCCCGAAAGUUACAAUCACAAAAUCACCCAAUAUGAUUGGCUCCUUCUUCCCCCAAGCAUACUCAAUUAACCAAUAUCGUAUGACGAGCUCAGGAGAUGGUCAUUGCACGUCAAGUGCUCCCAAGGAAGCCACUAGUGCCAAUAAGGAAGCUAAUGGAGUGGAGGGUAAAACUGUUUGAAAAUGUUUAAAGUCCAUUCCCUGUUGCCUCGUGAAGGAAAGGUAGUUAUGCACCAGUCUUCUCUCAUUUGGCAGAAGUCUGC